GAUCCGGGCUCAGAUUGAACGCUGGCGGCAGGCCUAACACAUGCAAGUCGAACGGUAACAGGAAGAAGCUUGCUUCUUUGCUGACGAGUGGCGGACGGGUGAGUAAUGUCUGGGAAACUGCCUGAUGGAGGGGGGUAACUACUGGAAACGGUAGCUAAUACCGCAUAACGUCGCAAGACCAAAGAGGGGGACCUUCGGGCCGUCUUGCCAUCGGAUGUGCCCACGAUGGGAGUUAGCUAGUAGGUGGGGUAACGGGCU
This 258-nucleotide ribosomal RNA is filed under the name uncultured bacterium. RNAcentral's name for it is "partial 16S ribosomal RNA". It matches the Rfam family "Bacterial small subunit ribosomal RNA", at positions 15 to 266 of the family's 1533-position model. The record is from RNAcentral.